This 487-nucleotide ribosomal RNA is filed under the name uncultured bacterium. RNAcentral's name for it is "bacterial SSU rRNA". It matches the Rfam family "Bacterial small subunit ribosomal RNA", at positions 30 to 507 of the family's 1533-position model. The record is from RNAcentral.
AUUGAACGCUGGCGGAAUGCUUUACACAUGCAAGUCGAACGGCAGCACGGGGCAACCUGGUGGCGAGUGGCGAACGGGUGAGUAAUACAUCGGAACGUGCCCAGUCGUGGGGGAUAACGUAGCGAAAGCUACGCUAAUACCGCAUACGAUCUACGGAUGAAAGCGGGGGACGUCGCAAGAGCCUCGCGCGAUUGGAGCGGCCGAUGGCAGAUUAGGUAGUUGGUGGGGUAAAGGCUCACCAAGCCUGCGAUCUGUAGCUGGUCUGAGAGGACGACCAGCCACACUGGAACUGAGACACGGUCCAGACUCCUACGGGAGGCAGCAGUGGGGAAUUUUGGACAAUGGGCGCAAGCCUGAUCCAGCCAUUCCGCGUGCAGGAUGAAGGCCUUCGGGUUGUAAACUGCUUUUGUACGGUAACGAAAAGGUUUACUCUAAUACAGAGGGCGUCAUGACGGUACCGUAAGAAUAAGCACCGGCUAACUACGUG